This 230-nucleotide long non-coding RNA is filed under the name Carica papaya (papaya). Its description in RNAcentral is "long non-coding RNA (CPAP_LNC011080)". Lineage: Eukaryota; Viridiplantae; Streptophyta; Magnoliopsida; Brassicales; Caricaceae. The record is from RNAcentral.
AAGAUCUUGCAUGCUCGUGCGUGCGCAAGACCAACGCAAGAUGUGCACUUUGUGCGCUCAUCCCAUCCACGUUGGGGCGAGAGGUGCAAUUUGUGCGCUCUUCCCAUCGCAUGCUAAUGGACGCGGCUUCGUUAGCCCUGUGUGCGCACGGUCUGCGCAGUAGAACUGUGCGAUAGGCUUGCGUGUUAUAGGCCUACGCACGCGACAGGCUAGGCCUGCAGCAUGCGACU